AUUAAAUUGUAUGGACACUUCGAAGCAAAUAUUACUAAAGUUAAAGAACAGAGAGGAGAGGAUAUGCCUCCCAUACUCCUUUAAUUACAAUUUUUGAUUUAUUGGGUAAAGUAUCAUUAGGUAAUUAGGAAAAAGAUUUCUAUUACAAGAGAUCCAUGGUGAUAGUCAAAGACCUAUUAGAAGCACUAGAAUCAAGGAUCCAUGGUCCAAUGGAUGAGGAUCAUUUUAGACAUUUAAAGAUAUUACCAAAUUAGGAAAAUGAGAAUAACUGCUAGUUGGGAAACUGAUACUCCAAGUAUUAUUCAUAUUUUACUCUAGUCAAGGUGAUAGAAUUUUUUAAUCAAUG
This 346-nucleotide unclassified non-coding RNA is filed under the name Hevea brasiliensis (rubber tree). The record is from RNAcentral. Lineage: Eukaryota; Viridiplantae; Streptophyta; Magnoliopsida; Malpighiales; Euphorbiaceae.